CUGUUGCUGCUGCUCUUCAUCAUCUUCUUCAUCCUCAGGAGGAGGAGGAGGAGCCAGAGGACAAACCCCACAGGUCCAUUGGAGGAAAAUGUUUAUGUGACAAUGCACGGUCACCAUGGCGACAAGGGGAAAGCUAUAGAGGAGAAGCAGGAGUCUCAUUAUGUUCCAUGUCAUCCUGUUGUUUCCAUGGAAACACCAAUCACAGAGCAGAUGUCUGAGGAUGUAGAAGAUGUCUACGUGUGAUGACCAAUCAGAGAUCAGCUUGUUUUCACCUCAGCUCACCGUUAGUUCAUCGUCCACUGUCGUCCGGUGUUUAUUUUUCAACUAUGAUUAUUAUUAUUAUUGAUAAAUAAAUAUAAAGUGAACUUAUGUAGGGAGCUUUAUUAUGAUUCUGUUAUUUUAUCUUUGUACUUUUAUUUAAACUGUUUUUUUUUUUUUUUUAUCGGGGAGUUGCUUCCACUCGACACUGUCAUAACAAGUGAUACAAAGUGCAGGGUCUGGACAUAAUGUGUGUAUGAACUGAGUAUAAUGUACAUGUCCACCACUGUGAUUUAAUAAAUUCAACAUUA
Epinephelus lanceolatus (giant grouper) is the source of this 569-nucleotide non-coding RNA. Lineage: Eukaryota; Metazoa; Chordata; Actinopteri; Perciformes; Serranidae. The record is from RefSeq and is a predicted model, not a curated record.